UUUUUUAUAGUUCAACAUAUAUAUUACAUGUUCCAUUUGACAAUAGUAUAGGUACUCGCGUCUAAAUUUGCUUAGAAAAAUUGAAGAGUACUAGAUACUUUACUUUAAAUAUUUUGACUAAUUGGAGUUAAACAAUGUUGUGAAUUGUGGCGUAUUCUUUGUCCGGCUUUAAUACAACGUUAAGAAACAUUUUCUUUUUCUAUUAAGUCAAUGGUUAUUUUCUCCUAAAUUCCACUAUACAUAGAUCAUCUUAUGAUGGUGCCCAAAUAGACAUCGCUGAUAUUCAGUGUCCAGAAUAAGUUUCAGUUAAGGAAAACCAUAUCAUAAUUGAAUUCUUAUUUUUUGCGCACUUUCCUUCAACUCAAUUACUUAACCCUUCACUUUUUAUUGGGACCAUAUGCCGAGGUCAGUGUUGGAAAACGCAUAAAACGUUCCGUACCAAAUAUCGAGUGCAAAAAACGAAUACAUGAAAUUUGUAGAACCAAAUCCAAUAAAAUUUGCGGCUAUCGCAGCGAA
This is a non-coding RNA of Drosophila virilis, 516 nucleotides long. The record is from RefSeq and is a predicted model, not a curated record. NCBI's taxonomy places the organism in Eukaryota, Metazoa, Arthropoda, Insecta, Diptera, Drosophilidae.